GUUAUGGAGAUGAAUUCUCUCUCUCUCUCUCUCUCUCUCUCUCUCUCUCUGUGUGUGUGUGUGUGUGAGUGAGUGAGAGAGAGAGAGAGAGAGAGAACUUGAACCUUUUG
Molecule: non-coding RNA, 110 nt
Organism: Podarcis lilfordi (Lilford's wall lizard)
Lineage: Eukaryota; Metazoa; Chordata; Lepidosauria; Squamata; Lacertidae
Source: the annotation of a GenBank genome assembly